CCUACGGGGGGCAGCAGUGAGGAAUAUUGGUCAAUGGGCGUAAGCCUGAACCAGCCACGUCGCGUGAGGGAUGAAGGUUCUAUGGAUCGUAAACCUCUUUUAUAAGGGAAUACAGUGUGGGACGUGUCCUAUUUUGUAUGUACCUUAUGAAUAAGGAUCGGCUAACUCCGUGCCAGCAGCCGCUGUAAUACGGAGGAUACGAGCGUUAUCCGGAUUUAUUGGGUUUAAGGGGUGCGUAGGCGGCCUUUUAAGUCAGCGGUGAAAGUCUGUGGCUCAACCAUAGAAUUGCCGUUGAAACUGGGGGGCAUGAGUAUGUUUGAGGCAGGCGGAAUGCGUGGUGUAGCGGUGAAAUGCUUAGAUAUCACGCAGAACUCCGAUUGCGAAGGCAGCUUACUAAACUAUAACUGACACUGAAGCACGAAAGCGUGGGGAUCAAACAGGAUUAGAUACCCGGUAGUC
This 459-nucleotide ribosomal RNA is filed under the name uncultured bacterium. RNAcentral describes it as "partial 16S ribosomal RNA". It matches the Rfam family "Bacterial small subunit ribosomal RNA", at positions 338 to 795 of the family's 1533-position model. The record is from RNAcentral.